Molecule: ribosomal RNA, 489 nt
Filed under: uncultured bacterium
Lineage: Bacteria
Description: partial 16S ribosomal RNA
Rfam family: Bacterial small subunit ribosomal RNA
Source: RNAcentral
AUUGAACGCUGGCGGCAGGCCUAACACAUGCAAGUCGAACGGUAACAGGAAACAGCUUGCUGUUUCGCUGACGAGUGGCGGACGGGUGAGUAAUGUCUGGGAAACUGCCUGAUGGAGGGGGAUAACUACUGGAAACGGUAGCUAAUACCGCAUAACGUCGCAAGACCAAAGAGGGGGACCUUCGGGCCUCUUGCCAUCGGAUGUGCCCAGAUGGGAUUAGCUAGUAGGUGGGGUAACGGCUCACCUAGGCGACGAUCCCUAGCUGGUCUGAGAGGAUGACCAGCCACACUGGAACUGAGACACGGUCCAGACUCCUACGGGAGGCAGCAGUGGGGAAUAUUGCACAAUGGGCGCAAGCCUGAUGCAGCCAUGCCGCGUGUAUGAAGAAGGCCUUCGGGUUGUAAAGUACUUUCAGCGGGGAUGAGGGGAGUAAAGUUAAUACCUUUGCUCAUUGACGUUACCCGCAGAAGAAGCACCGGCUAACCCCGU